GGGGCUGAAUGGGGUACUGGUGUCCCUCACGGUCUUCAAAACCGCUCGUGACCUGCGUGCCAGGUCAGCUGGGUUCGAUUCCCAGGCGGUCCC
RNAcentral lists this transfer RNA (93 nucleotides) under Bacillus infantis NRRL B-14911. RNAcentral describes it as "Selenocysteine transfer RNA". It matches the Rfam family "Selenocysteine transfer RNA". The record is from Rfam by way of RNAcentral. Lineage: Bacteria; Bacillati; Bacillota; Bacilli; Caryophanales; Bacillaceae.